AAAGGAAUUGACGGGGGCCCGCACAAGCAGCGGAGCAUGUUGUUUAAUUCGAUGCAACGCGAAGAACCUUACCAGGUCUUGACAUCGAUCUAAACUCUAAGAGAUUAGAGGUCCCUUCGGGGGAGAGAAGACAGGUGGUGCAUGGUUGUCGUCAGCUCGUGUCGUGAGAUGUUGGGUUAAGUCCCGCAACGAGCGCAACCCUUAUGAUCAGUUACUAACGGGUAAAGCCGAGGACUCUGAUAAGACUGCCGGGGACAACUCGGAGGAAGGUGGGGACGACGUCAAAUCAUCAUGCCCCUUAUGACCUGGGCUACAAACGUGCUACAAUGGUGACUACAAAGAGAAGCGAACAUGUGAGUGCAAGCGGAUCUCAAAAAAGUCAUCUCAGUUCGGAUUGUGGGCUGCAACCCGCCCACAUGAAGUUGGAGUUGCUAGUAAUCGCGAAUCAGAAUGUCGCGGUGAAUACGUUCCCGGGCCUUGUACACACCGCCCGU
This 494-nucleotide ribosomal RNA is filed under the name uncultured bacterium. Its description in RNAcentral is "bacterial SSU rRNA". It matches the Rfam family "Bacterial small subunit ribosomal RNA", at positions 903 to 1397 of the family's 1533-position model. The record is from RNAcentral.